UCGUGGGAGCUUAGUGGUAGAGCGUCCGACCGGUGUGCGGAAGAUCAUAGGUUCAACUCCUGUUUGGAGAA
Molecule: transfer RNA, 71 nt
Filed under: Desmophyllum pertusum
Lineage: Eukaryota; Metazoa; Cnidaria; Anthozoa; Scleractinia; Caryophylliidae
Description: tRNA-Thr
Rfam family: tRNA (bases 8-63)
About the family: Transfer RNA (tRNA) molecules are approximately 80 nucleotides in length. Their secondary structure includes four short double-helical elements and three loops (D, anti-codon, and T loops).
Source: RNAcentral